This is a long non-coding RNA of Galeopterus variegatus (Sunda flying lemur), 907 nucleotides long. RefSeq lists it as uncharacterized. The record is from RefSeq and is a predicted model, not a curated record. The transcript is spliced from 3 exons. NCBI's taxonomy places the organism in Eukaryota, Metazoa, Chordata, Mammalia, Dermoptera, Cynocephalidae.
CACCAGCUCCAGCUUGGAAGCAUCUGGGAUUUGAAAUGGUGGACCGUGAGGCCAACUUCACCAGCAACGUGGUGCUGGUGCUGCUGACCCAGCAGAAUGUCACCGUGGAAGCUGGCACCAGCUGCCAGGUGGCCGGCUGGGGGACCUGGCAGACUGGGGGACGUCUCUCGUGCUUCCCUUCAUCAAUGUGACCCUGAACCCCGAAGACUGCUGUCACCACAACAGUGUGUGCACUGGUGUGCUCACCCGCCAGGGUGGAAUCUGCCAGGGUGAUGGGGGCAGCCCCCUCAUCUGCAAUGGUCUGGCCCAUGGUGUGGCCUCCUUCACCAUGGAGCCCUGCAGCUGGGGUCCCGACUUCUUCACCUGUGUGGCACGCUUCCAAAACUGGAUUAAUAGUGUCCUCAACCCCCCUGCUGGCCUGAGGGAAGCCCCAUCAAGCCGUGCGGAGCCUGUGACCUGCUGUGGAACCCAGCCUUGACCUUUGUAUCCCGGGACGCUCUGCAUGCCCCCACACCUCCAGGCCUGCCCCCCACCUCCAGCCCCUGUACUCAUGACUCUAAGAAGCCACUUCUCCUCUGCUCCUGAUUUCUGCUUCACCAGGGUGGACAGGGCCUGGGAGCGGGAGACAGGCCCCAUGGCUCUGGGGAGGGUGAAUGGAACAUUAGUCGGCAUUAGGGGCAUCGCCCCAAGUGCAGUAAUUGUACAGAUGCUGAGAAACAGAGACUGUCGUUAUGUCCACCUGGCAGAGGGGAUGCUGAGUUUCAGAGAGGUUCGGUGACUCACCUGAGGUCAUAGAGCUCGUGUGAACUUUGAACCCAGACCUAUGUGAUCCUGGGGUCCCUUCACCCCCUCUCCUUUUGGUGGAGGUUAUUUUGUGCAGCAGCAUGCACGGGAAACCUGGAAACAA